GGGCGGCGGCGGAGGAAAGUUUGGAGGUGCGGAUCCCGGAGGAAUAUUGUCACUAAGCCGGGAAUAAAGCGGGGUUAGCAUUUGGGUUCUCCUCUGGUCGCUCCUAAAGUUAGGGGUGUUUUAUCGCUGUGUUUUACGCUAAAGAAGUUCGUGCUGUAGGUUGAAGGCCGUUGGGAGUUGACUGGGCAUCUUGCAGCUUUGUGGGUGCGUGAGGUGACCACCGUCACCCCGGGCAGUUUGGGGAGGUGGUGUAAGGCCGCAUUCCAAACUGCCUUUGGAAACCUGCCAACUCAGUGUCGUGACUUGUGCCAUAUACAGAAUUUCUCAGGGAGAAUCGUACACAGAAUCACAAAACGAAUUAGGUUGGAAAAGGCCUGCGAGAUCAUCGGGUCCAACCCUUGACUGAACACCACCAUGUCAAUUACACCGUGGCACAAAGUGCUGCCCCUGGUACUUCCUUAAACACCAAAGCAGUCCUGUGGAGUUUGGAAAACCUUGUUUUAUUCUUAGGUGGUUUUUUUUUUCUAAUCCAAAAUAAAAAAAUUAAUCCUUUUGUGAGAAAGCAAUAUAUUUUCCUAUCAAUUAGAAUUCUAUGGGGCUUUUUAUUACCAGCUAAUCAAUCGUGUUUCAGAGUCUCACAAAAUAAUAGAAUCAAAUAAAAUGUACUUCGUUCCUGCUAAACAAAUGUACAAGUACUUGCAUUUGGACCAAACACUAAACAUUAAUGAAAGUGUAACGCAGGAAGCCAUAUCAUGGAUUUGCAGAAGUCUUGGAGGUGACCAAACCCACGGCAGAGCUGGCAUCUCCCCAUGGCAAAAUGUGACGUCUUUGUUCAGCCUCCACCCUGCCCUGGCUUUAAACUGAGGUGAUGACUGGUAUCUGAAGCAGCUGACAAAUGAACACAUCCUGAGAUGGCAGUGGUGGCUUCUGUCAGCUGAGUACAGCAGAUGGCCAGCAUCAGCAGUGUCUUAUAGUGAGUGAGUUAAGUUGCUCUGUUUCUACCCUUGGCACUCCUGGACAAUGGCAAGAUAGAGCCCAGAGCAUGAACUUGUGAAGGAGAAAUAAUUUUGGCAACAGAACAGGGAAAGAAGUGUCAUUCUCAAGCAGUCAUGACGUGGGAAAGGUGAGAAUGCUAUCCCAGCUGAGAUGUUUCAAGCUUUUUCAUAUACAUCCUCUAAGGUUGCCAGCUCAGUCUUCUCUAAGGCAGUCUGUUCUGGGGCCUUACUCUCCUUAACUUGGAAAACAUUUUUCUAAUUGCUGACCCAAGUUUCUAUUUUUGCAGUUCCUUCUCAUUCUAUCCCCAGUGGAAUUGCAGAAUUUUUUUUUUUCUUUUCUUUCUUUGUUACUUUUUUUUUUUCCCCCCUAAUAGAGCCAUGCUGCUUUUCCAGGGUGUGCAUUUGAAAGUGUUCUGGUCUGUGGUGCUGACUCAGAGAGUAGGUCAGACUGGAGUGACUUCUGGCAUGAACAGAUAAUCUGCUUCAGAUGGGCACUGCUGAAUUAGCACGUGUACAGGAUAGUGAUUCCUGUGCCAGCAUGCACCAAUCUGUGAUUCCCUGUUCCAGAGGAAGCUGCUAUUGCUGUGCUAUGUGCACACCUUAUGCAUGGUAAAGUGCCAGACCUUUCGUGUUGUGGGGAUUUUGUGUAGCUAUUCCCUUUACAAAAGGUUGAUGGUAAUACCAUAAGAUUGUGUUGCUUGAGAGAAUACAUGAACUUUUCACUGCACCAGCUGCAGGUCAUUCAAUUGCGAGGAGAACCAGAAGGACCAAAUAGCAAAGGAUGCUUUGGUCGGUUUCAACAGGUAAAGUCCUUCAGCUGUUCACUGUGACUGAGAUUACCCAUAUACAGGACAAAUUUCUGUGGUCCAUGUCUGCCCUGAAAUUUUCUCAUAGGUCUCAGUCCAGGCUCUUUGACCAUUUUAUUAUGGUCCUGCCACCUUUCAAUCAGUAGCCUGUGAUCUCCUAACCCAGUGCUGCAAUCCUGCUGGUCUGAGACACCAGCCUGCAGCUCCUCUAGUGCAGCCCUGCAGGCACUGCCAACCUGUGAUUAAUUAUACCAGUUCACACGGUGAGCCAAAGAAAACUGCAGGGACCAUCUGAAAACCAAGGGCACAGAGGAAAAGUCAAAAUAAAACUGAAGUAGAAUGUGAUUCACAGGCAUGUGUGAAACUGAAGGAGGGCAGAGAGGCAGAGUAGGUGGCAGGGCUGGGCUGUGUGCCUCCUGCAGCCUGAUGCUGAGCACUGGGGUCGGUCUGGGCAGGGGCAGUGUUGCAUGGGAAGGAUGCUUACUGAGGAAGGAGGGUGCAGGGCAUGGAGACACAUACUUGAAUGAGAUUUUGUUGACUCUCUGCUGGCUUGAUUGAGCUCUCACACCUCACAGUGGUCAAUAUGUAUCGGCUCCACAAUGCUGGACCCGCCCAAGGAUCUUGUGGAUUUGUUUGCCAAGCUCCCUUUCCACCCUGCCAGCCCAAUUUCUGUUUUGUGCUCCCAUUUCCAGUGUGACUUUGCAUCAGUGGCAGGAGGGUCUAGGCAAGCAUGUUUUAGAGUUGGACACAUGACCUGAGAUCUGAGGAAGGAACAGACGUGCAAAUAGCAGAGAGAAGGUGCAAACAGGAUUGAAAGAUUCUGUGAUUGAAGGGAGCUGGUGGCGUGGAGGAUAAAGGGGCAGAUGGAGAACAAAAAGAAACAGACCAUAAAUCCUCCAAGGUCCUGUGCAGGGCCAGGGGUUGGCCUGCACUCUUGUGCAAAAGUGAUUCUUGUGGGUCCCUUCCAACUCGGGACAUUCUAAGAUUCUACAUAGGAAGUGUCAUGAAACUCUGCUCAUGUAAGUUAAACAAACGAAUGUUUGGACAAAUGUGUUCCACUGUGAGGAGUUUAUUUCAGUAAAUGCCUUUAAUCCAAUUUUAGGACAUUGCAGUUCAAUUUAUUGUGUUGCUAAACUGUGGGCCUUACUUGUGAAAGGAGCCAGACUGCUUGCCCAUAGCAUGACAUGGGUUUUGUGGCCAAAGCUGAUGCUGUUCCCCCCUCCACUUCUGACACCACAGCAAAGUUCUUGUCUCAGCUCAAGGGGAUGUGACUAGCCAUCAGCCACUGCCCUGCAAUACAGCUCUUACCUGUUUGAGGUGGGGAGCAGUGUGCUGCCAUUGUUGCAUACUGUGAUAACUGUUCUGUUGAGGUAUGUUUUGUGGUCUCUGGCUUCUAAAGCACUUGGGGUUACAGUUGGGACCCAUUGUGGCCAAACUUGGUGUUUUUGCAGACUGAGAGUGUGGCCCUGCCUGGCCAUCCUUUAGAGGGCACUGACUGACUGUGGUUCCAUCAUCUGCUGAAUGUACCCAGGGACUUGUUGCCACUGAGAGAAGGACCAUUCCCCUUUCCUGCUCCCUUCUUCCCUUGUACCCAGAGCUUUUUUCCAUUCUCCAGCCCAUGCUGUCCUGAUCACUUCCCUUUUAAGGGCUGGUUGGAUGCAGGGUUGGUUUUUAUUCUUUGCACUGAGCUAAUUUGGGAUGUUUUAGUGAUUUAGAUCUGCUCUCAGAGACAGAGACACAAGAUGGUAGCAGGGUGUGUGGCCCAGAGACAAAGGGAAACUAUUGCAGUGCUGAUAAAAUGCUAAAUGACCUUAUGCCUCCUGUGGAAUUAUGUCAUUUGCAGCACAAUUCUGGAGAAAUAAUUAAUUUUGGUCACCCUGUUUUGCCUAAAAAAGGGGGAGAGCAGAAGGGAAGGGGACAUCUAAGGGAUGAGUAAUGGUGAAAGGACUGAAGAAAGAAAUGUGUCAUGAGGGGCUUCAGAUCCUGGGGCUGGGGAUUGAAAGAGGAUUUCAAUGACUGUCCAGAGUAAGGGGGAUUUCACUAAGAACUGUAAGAGGUGUCUAGGGCAGGAUUAAAUGUCCAACAUGUUUGGCUCAUGUCCCUUUUGUCCUCACAGAAGGGCAGGGCCCAACUGGUGUGGAAAAUAGAUGUGUCUCUGGCUAAGCACCUGGGUCUCUCUGAAGACCUGAAUACUUCUCCCUUUGCUGUCACAUUAUUGGUGUUAGAUAAAACACAUUCUUUUUUUUUUUGUUGUUGUUGUGUAAGGUCAUCAAUUUAUACUCCUAGAACUGCCUCCAUCCCUCUUGCCAGUUUUGCACCUUUCCACUUGGGCUUUGUAUGAGUCUGCCAAGAAAGAAAGUCAGUGGGCAGAGGAAGAGGAGCACUGGGCUGGAAGUGGAGCAGGAACUCUCCUGCCAACCAAGAUAACCACAAAGCCAAAGGACCCAUCUGUGGGUGGUCCUUGGCCCCUCAGCAGCUGGGGCUAUUUUCAUCCUAGCUAAGAGUGACUCUGCUUCCCCUGGUGCAAGGCAGUCAAACCUGUCCAGUUACCUGCAGCCCCAAGGGGAAGGUAAUAAAAUGCCAGGUAAAGCAAAAAUUAGCAAAAUAUAUAACAAUAUACAAAUUUCCCACCCUUCCUAGGCAAGAUGACAAUUCACUGCCUUUGACUGAGAAGCUGAAGCAAUUGGACUGUUAUUUUGAAGCAUGUGUUGAACUGGGACUGCUCGAGUCUCAGCCAUCCCUGCAGAGGAGCAGAGCAAAAGCACUGGCUGCUGUAGCCUGCAGUACAUGCAGCCUGCUUGUGGGUGGCUUAGAGGCAUCUGAACAUUUUGGUACUUUUCUGCUUCUAGAAAUGUUCAUCCUGCUCUAAGCAUCCUUACCUCGAUGUCCAUCCAUACGUUGCAUGCAGCUGCCUAGCUUAUGGGUGCUGUAGGGAGAAAUCCCAAACCCUUAGUUAUGAUGUUGUGUUGUUCCCAUGCAAACUCACUGGAGAGCCUCAUGAUGAAUGCCUGGUGAGGGCUUCCUCUCUGAGGCUGAUGUGUUUGGUGGAUACAGUAAAAGAGGCAGAUGCUGGUGACUGGGCCCAGAGAAGUGAGUUACCAGUGGUUCAUUGCAGCAUCAGCCUUGCUCCACCUUGGUCAGGACUGGGUUCCAGGGGUAUUUUAUGGUGCAGCAUGAGCUCUGCUCCACAGUUGUGAGGAAGGGUCCGUAGUGAUGCAGUGUCCCCAGCCAAAUGCAAAGGAGAACCACUUAAUUGCUAAAAACAGGCCUUUUAAAGCAGUUAGGCCUUUAUCAGUUACAUAGUUUUAAAUCAUAACAAACAUAAUUCAACCAACCACUAUACACUACCAUGUGAAUAUGUGAUAGUUGUGUAGCUUAUUUUUCUACCUCUAAUUCAGGUGAGUCUCUUUCCCACAGAGACUCACAGUCCUUUUCUACUUAGAUGAAGUAAUAGGCUUGAGCCAUGAUUUUACAAUGCCUUCUUUUUGUAAGGUUUUACAUAUAUGCAACACAUCAACUUAUAGCUGAUGACUGAGAGGAGAAGGGAAGGGUAAAGCAUGGCACCAGGGCUGUGUAUAAUCCAUCCAAAAGGGGACUGGAAGAAAUGGAGCAUGGAGGGAAUUACAUCUAGGCCAGCACUGCAGACUUCACGCAAAACAGCUUCAGAAACAUCUCUGAUACUCUCUUUGAUUGGCCUGCAUAGUCUGGGGAGCAUCCUGAGUUGCUCUGGGGCAAACCCUUCCAUCCUGGUUCCUACAACACUUACAUGCUGCCUUCCCCCUUUAUCUGCACUUUCUCUGUUGGUACAAGUGACAGGACCCUCUGAAUAAGCAAAGGAUGUUAGCUGUCAUCCACUGAGGAUGUGGCAAAGGCCUGUGGACAAGCAAUACUCUAAACAUACCUGCUUAAGAUGAAAGAUGAACAUUACAAGGCUAGUGAUUCUUAACUACAGUAGAAUGAGCACAGUGAAACCCAAAACAAAAGGGAAAAUUAAAUAGAAAAGCUACUAAAAAUGUCAUUGCAAAAAUGACUUAAAUAAAUAUAUAAAUUUUCAUAUACUGCAAGCUGCCAGUUUUUGAAAGCAUCAGGAAACAAGCUGUGGAGCACUGGAAUGGAUAAAACCUGGUUCCCAAAAUGCAGCUCUACUGAGCUGCCUGGCCCAUGAAAUCUCAUUGCCAGUGAUGCUGCUGUUGGGCCAGAGGCAGGCAGGGGCAUGGCCAACCCACGUGCUGAGGGGUGGCUGGGGCAUCUGCUGAGUGGCCACCAGACCACGUUCCUACCAGGUGAGCUCAGCCUUCCUUCCAGGGACAGGGCUGCUGCUAUCUAUUUCUUCUAUGCCCAGCUACCAAUUUUCAGUAAAUUUAUCAGAACUCCGCUGUCUUUGAGGCAUCUUGGUCAAAUUUGGUCAAGGUUACCUAGUAAUACUGGGGGAAAAAACAGGAAGUCAGGCCUUGGGAUUAUACAAGUCUCUUGCCUUUAUGAAAUGCAGACUGAAAAUAAAUCCAGAGCUCAGAAAAAUAGCAAAUGCCUGUGGCUGUUGCAGGGUGCCAGAGAAUGGCACAGGCAAUGUGCUUUGUGGCACAGAGGUACACAGUACUUUUGCCAAACAUGACGCUGAGCUGAGCAUGCAGCACCAGAGGGGAUGUCCAGCCAGCACAGGGAUGGGCAUCACAGUGCAGAUCUUCACCUAGUGGGAAUCUGCUGCUGCUGUUUUCUGCUGCUCUCAGCCUAGACUGUGCCUAUUGCGUGCAAGGUGUGAAGGCCUUCAACAGGUCAGAUGCCCCUACUAAGACAAGGGAUGUUCAGGUACUUCAGUGACCUUGAGUGUGAAAGUCUUUAUGAAUGUGCACUUGGAUUUGGAGGGGCAAAAAAAGGUCUUUGAUCAUCACAAGGAUCUGACUUACUCAUGGAUGUAGACUGAUUUCUUCUAAUUGGCUAGGGGGGGUUUUCCAGGUAUUUUUCUCUGUAAGAACAAGUCUGUUUCAUCCAGCUGCACUAUUCAGCUCUGCUGCUGAUGUUUUUGUUUUCUCUGCCUGUGGUAUUCUGCAUGGGCAUGAAUAAGCAGGUAUCACUACUGCACACUGGCAGUCUCUCAAGGGAUCUGCAGCAAACAGUGAGCACAGUGAUCCAAAAUCACCUUCCAUAUCAUGUUGGCAAAGAACAAAGCCCAAGGGCACUGAUGCCAGCUAGCAUAGCUUGGCAGGGAGGGAUGGGGGAGUUCUAACUCCUCCAUGUCUUUUCUGACAUCACUGCCCCAUGGGGUUCAUACUGGGUGUUGUUCAGCAGUCCCUGUGCUCCUCAGGGUUGCAGCCAGCUUUGCAUGGCAGCGACACAGCUUCGAUGGAGUGAAAAGAAGGUUAACAACAGUCUCUGCUUCCUGCAAUAGUGCUGCUGCAGCCAGCUUACUGGUCUUCAAAAAUAAGUUGUCACUUGUUCAGCUGUUUUACAUAAAAGCAAUUCCCCCUCUAUCUUCAUAAGAGCUGGCUGGACAGCUCAGACUUAACAGCUUCAAUUUCUUCCCCAGGGCACAACCAAGAUGUUGCUGGUUUUUUAUCCAAAAAUUUCCCAAAUCAAGGAGGAAGUCUGCAUUGGGGGUCCUGGUGGACAACAAGCUGCCCGUGAGCCAGCAGUGCCCUUGUGGCCAAGAAAACCAAAGUUAUCCUGGAGUGCAUUAGGAUAGGGUGCCAGGAAGUUGAGGGAGGUGAUCCUGUCCCUCUGCUCAGCCUUGGUGAAGCCUCACCUGGAGUUCUGUGUCCAGUUCUUAGAUUUCCAGUUCAAGAAGGACAAGGAAAUACUGGAGAGGGUCCAGCAGAGGGCAAUGAAGAUGAUUCACAGAGUCAUGAGGUUGGUUAGCAUUGGAAGUGGCCUCUGGAGAUCAUCUAGUCCAAUUGAAUAGGGGUUUGGAGCACCUCAGUUUUGAGGAGGGGCUGAAGGAGCUGGGCCUGUUUAGCCUGGAGAAGGAGAGUAUCAAAAGGAUGCAGCCAGGCUCUUCCUGGUGGUGCUGAACGAUAGGACAAGAGGUAGCAAGAAGAAACUGGUGCACAGUAAGCUCUGACUGAACAUGAGGAAGAACAACUUUACUGUGAGGGUGACAAAGCACCGGAACAAGCUGACCAGAGGGGCUGUGGAAUCUCCUUCUGGAAUGAUUCAAAAGCUACCUGGAUACAAUCCUGAGUAAUGAGCUCUUGAGACCCAGCUCAUGCAGGGAGGUGGAAGCAGAUGAUUUCCAGUGGUCCCUUCCAACCUUACCCAUUCUGUGAAGUGAUUCUGUGAAGAAUGUGGAACAGAAAAACAGGGCUGGCUUCCCAUGGCUCUUCAUUCUCACUUUCUGAGUGAUUCUGUCAUUUUGAGAGUGAAAACAAUCCUGUAUUUUGCUCCAGAAGGAUCAACCCAGGAAGGUAUGAGUGUCUCAAAACAGAUCACAGGAAAUUCUGCUGCUAAUUAGCUUUGGCUUCCCUGAUUUUCUGUAUAAUUUUAUGUUUGCUACAUCUUCAUAGAUGAAGCCUUCUGCUACUGUGUAGCCAAAUGCUACAGUAUGGCGCAGUUUGGUCCCAUUUGGCCCAAAAUGGUCCCAUUUUGGGACUGGAGCACCAAAAUGAAAGGCUUUCUUUUCUGCAUUUUGUUCCCUUGUAAAGGGAUUUGCCUCCAUGAAUUACCUGAUGUCCAGUUACCUGUACCUGCCGCUCAUCUCUGCUCUUCAAUUUUCCUGCCUAUCCCCUUUCCAUCUUUGUUCUUAUUGCUGGGUCCACAUGAAAACCAGUUUUUUUUAUAGCCAGAAUGUACCACUAAUUCCCACUUCCAGGGAGCAAACAGGAGCCCUGACAUGUAUUGCUUGGCUUGUCAGAAAGCAGGGUUGUAUGGUGAAAAACUGCGGAAGGCAGGAACACACAACCGGUUGUGCAACUCCCUUCCCUGAAGGGAAGAGUUUGCCGUUACCUAAGCAGAGCAAGUCCAAGCAGCCAGCACUCCUUCCACACUGCUGUCUCCUGCCUGUGCUGUGAGGGAAAAAAAUGGGGGGAAGGAGAUGGCCUGGAAAUGCUGAGUCUUGGCUAAGACAACAGGCUGCUAGCACAUUGUGCAGGCAAGGCAUAGAUUUGGGCCAUCUCCAAGCACCUCUGAGCUACCUGCAGGAAGUGCUUGAUGCCAACUGAAGAGCCAUAGGGAAAAGUGAACCCAGUUGAACCCAGCUGCCUGUGUGGGUGAACCUCUCACUGCCAGGCCUGCUGCUGGUGGUGAGGCACUCUGCAGCUCCCCUUUCCCCCACUGUACACACCACAUGCAUCUUCAAAUUGCUUCUCCUCAUCCCCCUUUUCCCCCUUUGCAAAAUGGUCAGAACAAGAGUUCUAUCCAAGAGUUUCCUGUUCUCUGAGGAAGUGAAUAAAAAAGUAAAAAAAAAAAAUCUGUAAUUAUUGUAUUGUUUCUUGCUUAGCCUCCUGACAGAUCCCUAGCUGUUUGCUUGGACCAUUUGAAGACCCUUGGUUGCUGCCCCAUUCUCUGCUCACACAGAAGUUUGUGGCCAGGUUGUGGUUGCUGAACAUGAAUCACCUGCUCUCUAGAGCCUGACGGUUUCCUGUGUCCCAGUCCUUCUCCUGCAAACAGCUACCAGACAGAUUGUUUUAAGCCACAGCUCGUUUUAAGCCACAGCCAUACUUUUUAAGCAUUCCCUAUUGUUAGUAUGGAGAUUAUACAAGAUUUUUUUUUCUCAGUCACUAAUGAAAUCGGCCUGAAAGGCAAACUGGAAGCAGAGGGGUCCCAG
Molecule: long non-coding RNA, 9557 nt
Organism: Cyanistes caeruleus (blue tit)
Lineage: Eukaryota; Metazoa; Chordata; Aves; Passeriformes; Paridae
Source: RefSeq, a predicted model, not a curated record